UUGGUCGCCAAAACUUUAUAUAUGUUGCAUAUGCCUUUAAGUUUCAUACAGAAAUGGCACUAUAAUAUGGAGCUACACCAGCUCCAGUUCUGUUGUUCAAACACUCAUGACUAUUUCUUGCAUCAGUAAUUUUCCUCAAGCUCCUUCAAUCUUCUGCUAAACACUUCAAACUCAGCUUCAUUGGCGAAUCACCUUCCCACGCGGGUUCUGGUUCUGUACCGAUACACAUGUAACCAUUCGAAUGAUUUGGCAGAACAUCCAAAUUAUUAAAUCACCAUAAUUUUUGAAGCUUGAAGUUGUGUUGGAAAGUAUGAUAGAAGCUUUUAAGGCCUGAGUUGGAUGUUGAAACCAUCUGUUUCAUUUCAACUAGAUGUUGCACUUGGUAAAUCAUACGCAUCGGAGCUACUAAUGACUUCAAGAGCCAGGAAGUGAACGCCUCUGUCGUGUUUUCCAACACAAUUCAAGCUUCAAAAGUUAUGGCAAUUUAAUUAUUUGGAUGUUCGGUCAGAUCAUUCGAAGAUAUUGGUGCAGAACCAGAGCCCGCUUGGGCAGUAUCCAGUGAUGAAACUCUCUAAAAGGUUGAAGCAGCUUGAAGGAAAUUGAUGCAAGAAGUAGUAGAAGAAAUUUGAAUAGAAUUGGAUCAGGGAAUGCCAUAUUAACUAUUAAAUUAAACCUGUUAGUUGCUGUAACAGAACCUUGAGUUGCAGGAGUUCCUCUGCAAACUGGAACUCCAAAGAGUUCAAGCUGUGUGAUUCUGAAACUUCAAUGAAAGCCUAACUCAUGAUUUAUUAUA
Daucus carota subsp. sativus is the source of this 793-nucleotide long non-coding RNA. RefSeq lists it as uncharacterized. The record is from RefSeq and is a predicted model, not a curated record. Lineage: Eukaryota; Viridiplantae; Streptophyta; Magnoliopsida; Apiales; Apiaceae. The transcript has 2 exons.